Chenopodium quinoa (quinoa) is the source of this 1222-nucleotide long non-coding RNA. RefSeq lists it as uncharacterized. The transcript has 6 exons. The record is from RefSeq and is a predicted model, not a curated record. NCBI's taxonomy places the organism in Eukaryota, Viridiplantae, Streptophyta, Magnoliopsida, Caryophyllales, Amaranthaceae.
AUUCACGACAUUUGGUGAAUGAGUGUGGUCGCGUAGUGAGGACCAAAGCUCCAUUGAAUGUAAAGAAUUGGCAAGAAGCUUUAUCAAUUGCCGGUGAUAGCAUGUGGAAGGAAAUUCAGGAAAAGUUUCAAGUUAAUGAUGCAAAUCACUUGGCCAAAAUGUAUACUUUUGUUGUAGAUACUAUGCAACGUUUGUAUUGGUUGUGGAAAUGCAGACUACAUUACUACUACAAGAGUGCCAAAUGUGGAAAAACUAAUGCGGAACGCCUAAACAAUCCUCCACUAGAUUUACCGAAAGAGCAAUGGCAAUGGUGUGUAGAGCAUUAUGGGUCAGAUGAGUUCAAGAUAGUAAGCCAAAGGAAUUCCAAAAAUCGAUUAUCAGACAAAAGAUGUAUUCACACUACCGGAAAUUUAGCGUUUGUUUAAGUUGAAGAUAUAUUGACAAAAGAGAACGAUGGUGUGAAGCCAACUGCAGAUGUGAUAUGGCUUGUUCAGCAUACACAUACAAACAAAGAAGAUAAACUUGAAUGGGCUGAUGGCACACGUUCUAAAAUAAUUCAUGAAAAACUGAAAAAUGUAGUUGCUACUGUUGGUGAUUCAAUGACACAAGAAGAGAUAUUAAUUCAAGUUUUAGAGCCAAGGUCUGGGUAUGUUCGUGGAAAAGGGACUGCACUACGUGGUUAUUCUAAAGGAAAACAACAAUUGGAACAAAGAAGACUUGUUGAGCAACAACAACAAAAAAUACAAGAACAAGAACAGAGGAUAAAAGAGCUAGAAGAAAGCCAUCAAAAGCAACAACAAGAGUUAGAAGACUGUAAACAAAGGCAGCAACAAGAACUUGAAGAGCAUAAAGCACAACAACAACAAGCUAUGGAAGAUUUUAAAAGAGAGUUGCUGCAACAGCUUGCAAACAGAGGUAUCUAGCAAUUAAGAUAGAGAUUAGGAUAUGGAAGUUUUGCUAAGGUGCCUUCGUUGUGGAUGUUGAAAGAAGAUGGGUAUUUUGGGCAUUGAAUGAACUGAUGUUGUAUUCUUUUGGAAUGAAUGAAAUACUAUCUUGAAUGUUGUGGUAGGAAUAGAGUACUACCAAUUUUUGGGCAUGACAUUAAACUAUGUAUAUUCUGAAUAUUAUGUGACAUUGAUGUCACAUUUUGGGCAAGCAUGGAAAAUGUUUGUACUUGGAACAACUUCCAUCUUUAAUAUAUUCAAAAUAGUAAAUUCAAGUA